ACGUGUUCGUUCGGCCGUCCGGGUCGGCCCUGCACCGGCGGAGACGCCGUGCUGCGGGCUCCCGGCGCGCCUUCCAAACCAAACCCCCGUGAACCUUUGGGAGGGCCGAGCCUCCUGGCGACGCCGUCCCCAUUAACAAACCUCAUCGUCUCGAAGAAUGACCGCGGACCUCGUCCGCCUAAACACAUAA
This 190-nucleotide unclassified non-coding RNA is filed under the name uncultured Trechisporales. Its description in RNAcentral is "sequence contains ITS1". The record is from RNAcentral. Lineage: Eukaryota; Fungi; Basidiomycota; Agaricomycetes; Trechisporales.